CAAACUCGUACUCCACCGUAAAGCUGAUCGAACCUUUCUCUUGCAUCCCUAAGAAAAGGCCAAAGCAGUGGAAUAAACUGUGUUGAUCCAGGUUGCAGUGAGCCGAGAGGAAGAAUCCCUGCCCGCCCAAGUGAAAUGCCUGGGAGUAGACCCGGCCAGAAGGGAACAACUUGGCACACUCGUCCCUGGUCAGGUCCAGGUAGACGAUGCAUUGUGGGUGAGGCCUUUCAAAUUCCACCACCUUCAGCGGACGGUAUUUGUAAGCCCUCUCUGUAAACCGCUUG
Molecule: long non-coding RNA, 284 nt
Filed under: Musa acuminata (dwarf banana)
Lineage: Eukaryota; Viridiplantae; Streptophyta; Magnoliopsida; Zingiberales; Musaceae
Description: long non-coding RNA (MACU_LNC006148)
Source: RNAcentral